UAUAAGCAGUUACUACGCCACCUGGUGGAUGACUGGGCUCGGUUGCCGAAGAAGGUCGUGCCAAGCAGCGAUAUGCUUCGGGGAGGCGCAUGGAACCUUUGAUCCGAAGAUUGCCGAAUGGGACUUCCCAGACCUAAGUCUAAUCCUUCACAGGAUGGGGAACGCCCCGAAUUGAAACAUCUUAGUAGGGGCAGGAAAAGAAAUCAAAUGAGAUGGGGUAAGUAAAGGCGAUCGAACACCCCUUUACGGGCAAACCGAAUCCCGUAGCGAGAGUUGCGGGAAAUGUGGAUGGCCCGGUUACGUCCUAACUCUCAUAUCCGAAGUUCGUGUGGAACGCCGGUGCCAGAGAGGGUGACAGCCCCGUAGGAGAAAGAGAGCAGGACGAUUUCCGGGACCCAAGAGUAACGUGCGUUGGAUAUCGCGCGUGAAGACGGGAGGUACUAACUUCCAACCCUGAAUACAGACCGAGACCGAUAGCGUACUAGUAGCGUGUAGGGACGAAGGGCGGCUCGCCCGGCUGCGAAUAAUCCUCGCGGAAGUCCAUUCCGAGAUACGCCUGGUCCUCGAU
RNAcentral lists this ribosomal RNA (568 nucleotides) under Candidatus Poseidoniia archaeon. RNAcentral's name for it is "partial 23S ribosomal RNA". It matches the Rfam family "Archaeal large subunit ribosomal RNA", at positions 1 to 581 of the family's 2987-position model. The record is from RNAcentral. Lineage: Archaea; Methanobacteriati; Thermoplasmatota; Candidatus Poseidoniia.